GGCUGAAUAGGUUGUUGCGGGGUUACCGCCCACCCAGCCUACGAUCAGUAGGGGCCCUGAAAGAGGGAGCCCCGAGAAGGUCACUGAAACACUGGACCUAGCCCUACGGGGUGCAGCAGGCGCGAAACCUUUACAAUGCACGAAAGUGUGAUAAGGGGAUUCCGAGUGCUCAACAAUGUUGGGCUUUUGCUAAGAGUAAAAAUCUGGGCGAAUAAGUGGUGGGCAAGACUGGUGCCAGCAGCCGCGGUAACACCAGCGCCACAAGUGGGAACCGGAAUUAUUGGGCCUAAAGCGUUCGUAGCCGGUUAUAAGAAUCUUUUGUGAAAUCGUCAAGCUUAACUUGACGGACUGCCAAAGACACUUUAUAACUAGGGACCGGAAGGGGUUAGGAGUAUUUUUAGGGGAGCGGUAAAAUGCUAUAAUCCUGAAAAGACUACCUGUGGCGAAGGCGCCUAACCAGUACGGAUCCGACGGUGAGGAACGAAAGCUAGGGGAGCGAUCCGGAUUAGAUACGAGAAAUCAUGCUGAUUUCUGGAAUUAGCUUCGGAAAAGAUCGUUUUAAUCUACAAAGUACGAAGUAAAAUACAGGAUGUUAAUGAUGGUUUCCUCGCUAAUUACCCGAGUAGUCCUAGCUGUAAACUCUGCGAGCAAGGUGUUGCACAUUUUACGUGAAUGUGCAGUGUCGAAACGAAGGUGUUAAGCUCGCCGCCUGGGGAGUACGGUCGCAAGACUGAACUUAAAGGUAUUGGCGGGGGAGCAUUAGCGAGGGGUGCGGCGUGCGGUUUAAUUGAACUCAACGCCGGGAAAUCUCACCAAGAGCGACGGCAGGAUGAAAGUCAGGUUAAUGGCCUUACUUAACAAGCCGAGAGGUGGUGCAUGGCCGCCGCCAGCUCGUGCCGUAAGGUGUCCAGUUAAGUCUGGUAACGAGCAAGACCUGUGCUUACAACUUGCAAACGAGCCAUCUGGUGAUCGUGCACAAUGUGAGGACUGCUUUGGAAACAAAGAGGAAGGUGCAGGCAACGGUAGGUCUGUAUGCCCCGAAUCCCUUGGGCUACACGCGCGCAACAAUGGUAGGGACAAUGGGAUGCAAUCCCGAAAGGGAGAGCUAAACCUCUAAACCCUAUCCAAGUUCAGAUUGAGGGCUGUAAUUCGCCCUCAUGACGCUGGAAUCCCUAGUAAUCAGACGUCAACAUCGUCCGGUGAAUAUGUCCCUGCUCCUUGCACACACCGCCCGUCAAACCACUCGAGCAGGGUUUAAGUGAGCCUAAACUGUCAGGUUAAGUCGAA
Molecule: ribosomal RNA, 1287 nt
Filed under: uncultured archaeon
Lineage: Archaea
Description: bacterial SSU rRNA
Rfam family: Archaeal small subunit ribosomal RNA
Source: RNAcentral